UACGUAGGGUGCUAGCGUUAUCCGGAUUUACUGGGCGUAAAGGGUGCGUAGGUGGAAAUGCAAGUCAGAUGUAAAAGGCAGUAGCUUAACUACUGUAAGCAUUUGAAACUGCAUAUCUUGGGAAGAGUAGAGGUAAGUGGAAUUUUUAGUGUAGCGGUGAAAUGCGUAGAUAUUAAAAAGAAUACCGGUGGCGAAGGCGACUUACUGGGCUCAUUCUGACGCUGAGGAACGAAAGCGUGGGUAGCAAACAGG
Molecule: ribosomal RNA, 252 nt
Filed under: uncultured bacterium
Lineage: Bacteria
Description: partial 16S ribosomal RNA
Rfam family: Bacterial small subunit ribosomal RNA
Source: RNAcentral